Molecule: ribosomal RNA, 292 nt
Filed under: uncultured Bacteroidota bacterium
Lineage: Bacteria; Pseudomonadati; Bacteroidota
Description: uncultured Bacteroidetes bacterium partial 16S ribosomal RNA
Source: RNAcentral
GGACUACCGGGGUAUCUAAUCCUGUUUGAUCCCCACGCUUUCGUGCCUCAGUGUCAAUAAUAGUGUAGCGAGCUGUCUUCACAAUCGGUGUUCUAUGUCAUAUCUAAGCAUUUCACCGCUACAUGACAUAUUCCGCUCACCUCCACUACAUUCAAGACAAAUAGUAUCAACGGCAGUUUUCGGGUUAAGCCCAAAGAUUUCACCACUGACUUACUUGCCCACCUACGCACCCUUUAAACCCAGUGAAUCCGGAUAACGCUUGCACCCUCCGUAUUACCGCGGCUGCUGGCAC